Molecule: ribosomal RNA, 664 nt
Filed under: uncultured archaeon
Lineage: Archaea
Description: bacterial SSU rRNA
Rfam family: Archaeal small subunit ribosomal RNA
Source: RNAcentral
ACGGGGUGCAGCAGGCGCGAAAACUUUACAAUGCACGCAAGUGUGAUAAGGGGAUCCCAAGUGCUUUGUCUUCGGAUAAAGCUUUUGCUAAGUCUAAAUAGCUUGGCGAAUAAGUGGUGGGUAAGACGGGUGCCAGCCGCCGCGGUAACACCCGCGCCACAAGUGGCAAUCACGUUUAUUGGGUCUAAAGCGUCCGUAGCCGGUUUGAUAAGUCUCUUGUGAAAUUGUUAGGCUUAACCUAACCACGUGCAAGGGAAACUAUCAGACUUGAGACUGGGAGGAGGUAGAGGUAUUCUGAGGGUAGCGGUAAAAUGUUAUAAUCCUCGGAGGACCACCAGUGGCGGAGGCGUCUACCUAGAACAGGUCCGACGGUGAGGGACGAAGGCCAGGGGAGCAAAACGGAUUAGAUACAAGAAAUUUUCUGAGAGUAGAUUUCUGUACAAGCAAGUAAAAUUGAUCAAUAAAAAACUACUUUACUUGUUAAGAUGCAGAAAUUAAAUGAAAAUUUACUUGCUAAGUACCCGAGUAGUCCUGGCAGUAAACGCUGUGAGCUAUGUGUUGCAUAAUCUUAGUGAUUGUGCAGUGCCUAAGCGAAGGUGUUAAGCUCACCACCUGGGAAGUACAGUCGCAAGACCGAAACUUAAAGGAAUUGGCGGGGGAGCAC